GGUUGACAGAGCAAGUCUAUUGCUAGCAGCAAGACUUUUAUUAAAUUUUUAGAUUUUAUCCAAGUUUUGCACAUCACGUUGUAGACGUUGCGUGAUAAUAUUUGGGUAUUCGUUUCGAAUUGAAGGAUGGGGGACCACGCGAACCAGAACCACGAUGAAGUACCCACUCUGGAAGGUGUCAUAUGGCACGAUGUGGUGGACAGAAUCGAAUUUGAAUGCCGGGCAUUCAGCACUGGUAAUAUGGAUGCACUGGAACGUCGACGUCAGUGGAGUGUGCCCUUAAUCGUGUGAUGCCCUGGAAUGAUGUACACUUUUCCCGAAUCAAUCUACCCCAUUCGCAUUCCUUUGAGUGCAACAAUCCCGCAUGAUGACCGAAAAUAUGGGUGCCACAACGCGAGUUUGCAUCGGAACAGCCACUUUCUGGUGUAUUCCUUCACUUCUGCAAUUCCAUUGCAAUUAUUUCGAACGUCAUAUUCGCCGGGUAAUUCUAGUUAUGUUUAUUGAAAUGGAAUCCAAUCGCGUUCUAUACUAUAUCAAAAAUAUCCAAUCCAAUAUACCAACAACUAUCUUUAUGGUACAAAUAUAUCCCUGACCAGAAAAGUGGAUUAAAGUAUCAAAGUGAAUUAUUUUGUAUAAA
Drosophila subpulchrella is the source of this 637-nucleotide long non-coding RNA. RefSeq lists it as uncharacterized. The transcript is spliced from 2 exons. Lineage: Eukaryota; Metazoa; Arthropoda; Insecta; Diptera; Drosophilidae. The record is from RefSeq and is a predicted model, not a curated record.